This 332-nucleotide ribosomal RNA is filed under the name Listeria monocytogenes. RNAcentral describes it as "bacterial SSU rRNA". It matches the Rfam family "Bacterial small subunit ribosomal RNA", at positions 50 to 371 of the family's 1533-position model. Lineage: Bacteria; Bacillati; Bacillota; Bacilli; Caryophanales; Listeriaceae. The record is from RNAcentral.
AAUACAUGCAAGUCGAGCGAACAGACGAGGAGCUUGCUCCUCUGACGUUAGCGGCGGACGGGUGAGUAACACGUGGAUAACCUACCUAUAAGACUGGGAUAACUUCGGGAAACCGGAGCUAAUACCGGAUAAUAUAUUGAACCGCAUGGUUCAAUAGUGAAAGACGGUUUUGCUGUCACUUAUAGAUGGAUCCGCGCCGCAUUAGCUAGUUGGUGAGGUAACGGCUUACCAAGGCAACGAUGCGUAGCCGACCUGAGAGGGUGAUCGGCCACACUGGAACUGAGACACGGUCCAGACUCCUACGGGAGGCAGCAGUAGGGAAUCUUCCGCAA